UCCUUUUUGGGGAGUAUAAUUUUUUUUGAAAUUCAAUGGAUCUGGCGGUUUUUAAAUUUCUUAGAGGAACCUGUGAUUUAAAUGAUAAUCCACGAUUUUUUUUACCUUUAUUUUUUUGUAUAUCUCUGUCGUUGAAUAUGUUGUUAGGCUAUUUUCUUUACCAUUAUUUGGGUUAUGUUAGGUCAAGGUGCAGUUAUAUAAAGGUUAUCAUGGGUUACAUUAAUUUUUGUUUGGGGAUAAGGUCUUUGGAGCUUUUUGAAUUUGGAUUUAAAAGUAAUUUUUUUUUUUAAAAAAUUUGAAGUGAACUCUUAAAUAUGU
RNAcentral lists this ribosomal RNA (318 nucleotides) under Euroxenus vayssieresi. RNAcentral describes it as "partial small subunit ribosomal RNA". Lineage: Eukaryota; Metazoa; Arthropoda; Insecta; Hemiptera; Issidae. The record is from RNAcentral.